UACGAAGGGUGCAAGCGUUACUCGGAAUUACUGGGCGUAAAGCGUGCGUAGGCGGUUUGUUAAGUCCGUUGUGAAAGCCCUGGGCUCAACCUGGGAAUUGCAGUGGAUACUGGCGAGCUAGAGUGCGGUAGAGGAUGGUGGAAUUCCCGGUGUAGCGGUGAAAUGCGUAGAGAUCGGGAGGAACACCCGUGGCGAAGGCGGCAUCCUGGACCGGCAUUGACGCUGAGGAGCGAAAGCGUGGGGAGCGAACAGG
This 253-nucleotide ribosomal RNA is filed under the name uncultured bacterium. Its description in RNAcentral is "partial 16S ribosomal RNA". It matches the Rfam family "Bacterial small subunit ribosomal RNA", at positions 524 to 776 of the family's 1533-position model. The record is from RNAcentral.